AGCAUAAGGCUUAGGUUUCUAAUGUUUGAAAACAAGUGUUAAUGUUUGCACAAAAGUUUUGGCUUGGGUUAGAGUGGAAGGGAAGAAGAAGAAUGGCUAAAGUCCUAAUCAUACAAGAGAUAAGGGAUAAGAAACAAGACCACAAAUGGAGUUCCUCUCUUGAGAUCAUAUUGAUGAUCCAAGUAGCUCCCAUCCUUUGUAAUAUGCAAGCAAAAUAAUAGUAAGCUCAAGAAAUCAACACAAUCAAACAAGCUUCUUAGAAGAUCCCCAAUGUAUCUUGUAUCUUUCAUUUUGGAUGAACAUGGCAAUGGUUCUUCAAUUUGAGUUCUCAUAGGAUACCCUAGCACAAAAGCACACACACAUCAAAGAGUCUUAUGAAGUAAAUCAAUAAUGGACAAGAGAGAGUUUAGAGGUUUGGUCCUUCUAGUCCGUCUUCAACAUUUAAAGUCCUUUUACUCCAAUUUGCAUAGGGAAAGUCCUAGAAACUAAGUCCAUUUGUCCAUUUCUUUACAUUUGGUCCACAACAAACAAAACAAAACACAAGCAAUAUAAUAUAUACACAAUUAUGUGCUCAAGUGAGCAAAAGGCAAAUUGCAUAAACAUAAACAUGUGCUCAAGUGAGCAAAAGGGGAAAAGCAAAUGAAUAAUAUAUACAAGAAUAUUAAAUUGCAUAAAAGUAAAGUGCAAGAAGUAAAUGUUAAUGGUUAAUGGUUAGUGUUAGUAGUUAGUGUGCCAUAAGGCAAAUUUAGCUCUAUGUUAAGCAAUCGUAAUUGGACUUAUGUAGAAAUCACAACUAUCUGAGGCCGGUCAAUAAUAAUGUAGGCAACAACACAAGUUAGAGGUCUUGAUUAGUGAAUCAAACUCCAACAACUUGCCAUGCUAAAAAGAAGAAGAGAAAUGAUCUUGUAUUGAUUUAGGUACUUUGCAUGAUUUAGAAAGCAAUUUAUCCUUAAUGCAAAGCCAUUCACUUGAUUCAUGAUCAAGAUGAAUUAAAUUUUAAUCAAGGAAGAUUAAACCUCCCUAACCAAUGCUAACCAUCAACCUUUAACUCAUUGAUCAAAAAAAGAAAGAAGAAGAAGAAGAAGAAGAAUAGAAAUGAAGAAUUAUAGUGCAUUAAAUGAAAUGGAAUGUACCAAUCAAUAAAUAUUGACCAAAGAUAUGAAAGAUCAAGAUCAAACAAAAGAAAACAGAAGCAAGAUGAAGAUUGGAGGUCAAGAAAUAAACAAAAUAUUUUUGGCAUUUUUAAUAUUUAAAAUAAAACUUGAAUUAAAAUAUUAAAGAAGGGUCAAACUUCAAACUCACUUCAAAUCAACUUUGAAAAGUCCAAAUGAAUUAUCCCAAGUUCAACAAGGUCAAACAAAGUUUUACAAAAAAAUUCAGUAUUUUUAAAAUUUAG
RNAcentral lists this long non-coding RNA (1396 nucleotides) under Lathyrus oleraceus (garden pea). Its description in RNAcentral is "Pisum sativum (pea) long non-coding RNA (PSAT_LNC026464)". Lineage: Eukaryota; Viridiplantae; Streptophyta; Magnoliopsida; Fabales; Fabaceae. The record is from RNAcentral.